RNAcentral lists this long non-coding RNA (420 nucleotides) under Phasianus colchicus (ring-necked pheasant). RNAcentral's name for it is "lncRNA (ENSPCLG00000020376.1)". The record is from RNAcentral. Lineage: Eukaryota; Metazoa; Chordata; Aves; Galliformes; Phasianidae.
UGAAUUCCAUUAGUUGCAAUUGUGUUAACUCUAUUUGUGGGUUCUCCUUCACAUCAAACAAUAACUCUGAUCCCUGAAGGCUCAUCGUGGAGGAUUUAGUCCUUAUUUUUCUCUCAGCAGCCUUUUGUACUCAACUCAAGAGAUAACAACUAAGUAUAGGAAAGGCAAUGUUUCACUCUCCUCUGAAAGAUAUAUAUUUAAACUUUCCUUUGCCAUGCAGCCUUGGAAAAACCAAAACACUGCUGCUGAAUGCAGGUUCCCCGAGGCAGCAAUCUCUGAUGUGCAAACACUGCUGAUGAAGAACCCAGCGGUGUGUGCCACCACUGUCUCCUGAUGUGCUCAGAGGUGAGGAAGGCAGAUCUCUACUUAUUUAGGGGGCAAGCAGAGGUGAUAAUUUAAUCUCCAAAUCCAGAGACUUUU